Long non-coding RNA from Amaranthus tricolor (Joseph's coat), 967 nucleotides. RefSeq lists it as uncharacterized. The transcript has 2 exons. The record is from RefSeq and is a predicted model, not a curated record. NCBI's taxonomy places the organism in Eukaryota, Viridiplantae, Streptophyta, Magnoliopsida, Caryophyllales, Amaranthaceae.
GUGACAACCAAUUUAAUGUCUCCGCGUGUCAUACAUCUGAAACCUGCCAUGUUUUCACAUCAAAUUUUUUUCUGGCUGAAUAUAAAGCCUAUGGCAUUGGCAUGUAACAAACCAAAAUCACCUAACCUAAUUCAUUCCCUUUACAUUUCCUUGUGUUUCCGCUUACUCCAUACCUUUCUUCUUGCUUGGAUUUCAAGAUUUUACACUCAACAAUCAUGGAUUCAACUUACUACAACCUCGGAUCAGAGCAAGGUGACUCCUCGUCGACCGAAGAUGUAGAGUCGCCGAGAUCCGUCGUUACUGCUGCCUCGGCUAGGAAAAGUGGACGAUUGAGACGGUGGCGAAAAAUUUAUGCGAUUGAUCGUCAUCUUAAAAUUAAUGAAGAGAAAAAUAAAGAGGAAAAGGAAAAAAGUCAUUUGCAUAAUCAAGUGUUGAGGAUUAAGGAAGAAGAAUUACAAAUCGGAGAAUAUUUGAUGGAUUAUUUUGCUAUUUUUAACAUAAAUUAUGUAAUUGAUGAUGAUGAUGUUUGGUCUAGGAAUUCCAAUUUGCCUGCUUCUCCUCUUGGUUCCAACAAGAAUUAUUAGUAAUCUUCGUUUUGCAUCACUUAUCGGUUUCAAAACAGAUAAUCAGGACGAAAAGGAAGGCAGGAAGAGGACAAAAACAAUUGAAGGGAGGACAAGCAAUGAGAUCUGAUUCAAAAGCGAUUGGGGCAGCCUUCUCACGUACAUCUGGUUUUGUUUGGUAAAUGAUAAUGUUAUGUGUGUGUAUGUGCACAUAAAAAUAUCUUCAGUGAGAUAUCUUUUGUGGCCACCCUACCUGUAGUCCUGUACAGUUUUUGUUUUUAAUUUUUUUGUUUAGAACAAUGCAAAUUAAGGUGGUGUCUUAAUUCCUUCUGGAUCAUUAAUUAGUUUUGCUUUUUAAGAGUAUUACAUUGAAUAGUGCGGUUCAAAUGGGACCCGACCUGAAA